RNAcentral lists this ribosomal RNA (497 nucleotides) under uncultured bacterium. RNAcentral's name for it is "partial 16S ribosomal RNA". It matches the Rfam family "Bacterial small subunit ribosomal RNA", at positions 28 to 507 of the family's 1533-position model. The record is from RNAcentral.
GAUGAACGCUGGCGGCGUGCCUAAUACAUGCAAGUCGAGCGACCGGACGAUAAGCUUGCUUCUCUGAUGUUAGCGGCGGACGGGUGAGUAACACGUGGAUAACCUACCUAUAAGACUGGGAUAACUUCGGGAAACCGGAGCUAAUACCGGAUCAUAUUUUGAACCGCAUGGUUCAAAAGUUCUACACGGUCUUGCUGUCACUUAUAGAUGGAUCCGCGCUGCAUUAGCUAGUUGGUAAGGUAACGCCUUACCAAGGCAACGAUGCAUAGCCGACCUGAGAGGAUGAUCGGCCACACUGGAACUGAGACACGGUCCAGACUCCUACGGGAGGCAGCAGUAGGGAAUCUUCCGCAAUGGGCGAAAGCCUGACGGAGCAACGCCGCGUGAGUGAUGAAGGUCUUCGGAUCGUAAAACUCUGUUAUUAGGGAAGAACAUAUGUGUAAGUAACUGUGCACAUCUUGACGGUACCUAAUCAGAAAGCCACGGCUAACUACGUG